CAUCCAGCUCUUCAAAACCCUCUUUUCUGUCAUCAAUAACAGCCAUAAUCAGAAGGUGCAGAUGCACAUGUUGGACCUGAUGAGCUCCAUCAUCAUGGAGGGAGAUGGAGUGACGCAAGAGCUGCUGGACACAAUCCUCAUCAACCUCAUCCCUGCUCACAAAAAUUUGAAUAAGCAGGCAUAUGACCUGGCCAAGACUCUUCUGAAGAGA
Long non-coding RNA from Sinocyclocheilus grahami, 211 nucleotides. RefSeq lists it as uncharacterized. The record is from RefSeq and is a predicted model, not a curated record. Lineage: Eukaryota; Metazoa; Chordata; Actinopteri; Cypriniformes; Cyprinidae. The transcript has 3 exons.